AACUUUGUCUGCAGCAUGAGGACCUGGCAAAGAAGAGCAUUGCGGCACUGGCUCGAGAACUUGAGGUGUGCCAGGAUAUGGCCAUUCGCAACAAUGUUGUCAUUGUGAUGUGUGACCUCUGCAUCCGCUAUACCACCAUGGUGGACAGGAAGAAUUUGUGAAAUGGAGAGGAUCGCUUUUCUUCAGAUUUGUCAGUGUUUUGGUGGACCCAGAUCAGGACAUCGCCAGCUUAGCCAAAUUCUGCUUGGCCCACCUCCUGCUCAAGAGGAAUCCAGUGAUGUUCUCCCAGCACUUCAUCGAAUGCAUCUUCCACUUCAACAGCUAUGAGAGACACGAAAAAUACAACAGAUUCCCCCAGAGU
Molecule: long non-coding RNA, 361 nt
Organism: Sceloporus undulatus (fence lizard)
Lineage: Eukaryota; Metazoa; Chordata; Lepidosauria; Squamata; Phrynosomatidae
Exons: 3
Source: RefSeq, a predicted model, not a curated record